AUUCAAAUGCCAAACCUAUCAGAAUUCAAAUCUCUUGUUCAUGUGUCGUUAUUAUCCAUGUCAUCUUAUAAACAAAUGCUAACUUGCUGCUUUUUAGGUAUGUUGACUGUGGCUGAUGGCAGCUGAAGACCAACAACAUCUGGAAGACCACCACUUUUCCCAUAUGGUAAUCACUGUUUAACUUCUAUACCUACAUAAUGAGGGAAAGUCUUCUUAGAAAUGAACUGCAUGUGUAAUUAAAGUGUUUUGAAGGCAUGGAAUACAAUGGUGUAAACCAUACAAACUUUCUUGGCACCAAAUAAAUGCCUAGUAUUCA
This is a long non-coding RNA of Anolis carolinensis (green anole), 316 nucleotides long. RefSeq lists it as uncharacterized. The transcript is spliced from 2 exons. The record is from RefSeq and is a predicted model, not a curated record. Lineage: Eukaryota; Metazoa; Chordata; Lepidosauria; Squamata; Anolidae.